This 433-nucleotide ribosomal RNA is filed under the name uncultured bacterium. Its description in RNAcentral is "partial 16S ribosomal RNA". It matches the Rfam family "Bacterial small subunit ribosomal RNA", at positions 29 to 507 of the family's 1533-position model. The record is from RNAcentral.
AACGAACGCUGGCGGCAUGCCUAACACAUGCAAGUCGAACGAGACCUUCGGGUCUAGUGGCGCACGGGUGCGUAACGCGUGGGAACCUGCCCUUAGGUUCGGAAUAACUCCCCGAAAGGGGUGCUAAUACCGGAUAAUGUCUUCGGACCAAAGAUUUAUCGCCUUUGGAUGAGCCCGCGUUGGAUUAGCUAGUUGGUAGGGUAAAAGCCUACCAAGGCGACGAUCCAUAGCUGGUCUGAGAGGAUGAUCAGCCACACUGGGACUGAGGCACGGCCCAGACUCCUACGGGAGGCAGCAGUGGGGAAUAUUGGACAAUGGGCGAAAGCCUGAUCCAGCAAUGCCGCGUGAGUGAUGAAGGCCUUAGGGUUGUAAAGCUCUUUUACCCGGGAUGAUAAUGACAGUACCGGGAGAAUAAGCUCCGGCUAACUCCGUG